UCCCUCUCAGGAUCGCACCUGGAGAGUUUCCAGGACUCUACCAGUCUCAGCUAUGGGAGGAAGAGUCAAGCAGAGGCACACCCAUUCCAUUCCUAGCUUGGGCAGUGGCUAGCGAGUGGAAGGCAAUCUGUUGCAAGU
Molecule: small nucleolar RNA, 138 nt
Filed under: Ornithorhynchus anatinus (platypus)
Lineage: Eukaryota; Metazoa; Chordata; Mammalia; Monotremata; Ornithorhynchidae
Source: RNAcentral